This 239-nucleotide ribosomal RNA is filed under the name uncultured bacterium. RNAcentral describes it as "partial 16S ribosomal RNA". It matches the Rfam family "Bacterial small subunit ribosomal RNA", at positions 524 to 762 of the family's 1533-position model. The record is from RNAcentral.
UACAGAGGGUGCAAGCGUUAAUCGGAAUUACUGGGCGUAAAGCGUGCGUAGACGGUUACAUAAGUCGGGUGUGAAAGCCCCGGGCUCAACCUGGGAAUUGCAUUCGAGACUGCGUAGCUAGGGUGCGGAAGAGGGAAGCGGAAUUUCCGGUGUGAGCGGUGAAAUGCGUAGAUAUCGGAAGGAACACCAGUGGCGAAAGCGGCUUCCUGGUCCAGCACCGACGUCAGGCACGAAAGCGU